CAUCGGAGGAUAAAGCACUGGCAGACUCCCCUGGAUGGGGCGACAGUUUAGGCCUGUCGCUGCCCUCUGGAUGUACCUAUCAGCCUCCUACAGGACCGUGAGAGAGCUGGGACAUGGCAGGUCAACCCCAGCCCUGUAGCUGCAUCUGGGAAAGUGCUGAGGUGGAACCGACUACCUCAGCAAAAGAGGCAUAAACCUGAUGACCAGGCAGCUCUCUGAAGCUCUCAGACACCAUACAGCUUCAUCCUGGAGCUCUCAGACACCACACAGCUUCAUCCUGGAGAGAAGAAGCCUUGUGGACAUUCCCCCAAACCUCCACUCUGAAACAUCCUUUUUUUGCAUCCAGUGGAGAAUCUACUACCAAGGAAGACACACUGACUUUAUGACAUAUCACUGUUAGUCAGAAAAUGA
This is a long non-coding RNA of Mustela erminea (ermine), 411 nucleotides long. RefSeq lists it as uncharacterized. The record is from RefSeq and is a predicted model, not a curated record. The transcript is spliced from 3 exons. Lineage: Eukaryota; Metazoa; Chordata; Mammalia; Carnivora; Mustelidae.